Molecule: long non-coding RNA, 2064 nt
Organism: Vidua chalybeata
Lineage: Eukaryota; Metazoa; Chordata; Aves; Passeriformes; Viduidae
Exons: 2
Source: RefSeq, a predicted model, not a curated record
CUCCUCCCGAGCGUGACUGCGAGGUGUGGAGGGUCGGGCCAGGUUUCUCUCGUGCUGAGUGGUGCCUGUUCUUGGCAGGUCCCAGUGCUGGUCCCAGAGCAACCAGCAGGGUUUCCUCAGCUCUGCCUGGCUGGGGCAGAGCGUACUUGCAGCACUGACAGGAACCAUCCCCCGGUCGGACGUGGGCAUGUGACAGGGCUUUAGGGAGGUAAGAGGGUGUCCUUCUCCUUCCUCCCCCCUCCUGCCGGGUGUGACACUGGCAAUGGAGAGCAGCUCCUGAUCCUCAGCCCUCCUCAACGUGCUGCAGCGGCCAAGUAUGGCCACAGACACAGAUGGCAACUGUGCCAUCUGCCAGGACACCUGGGAUGAUGUGGCUUCUACUCUGCCCUGUGGCCACCAGUUCUGCCGGGGCUGCAUUCUGCGAUGGGCACACACAAAUCCAUCAUGCCCACUGUGCAGAGGAGCAAUAGAGACUGUCAGGCUUUCUGAUGAUGCCAGUGACUCUCUAGAGAUUCAAUCUCUCUGGAUCUCUCUGCAUGGUGUCUCAUCCUUCAAGAGAGUCAACAGCUCUCCCAGUUUGAGAUCAGCAGCAGCCUUGAAUUGGGACAUUUAACUGCAGCAUCCCAAUCUUUGAAAAAUCCCAGCCUUCUCCUCCAGCCGAGUUUCCAGCUGUCACUCACUUGUUCUAUAGCUUGAACAAUAGGAAGGGCCCCUUGUUUGGUCAGCAGUGAAGUGUCAGACUGCACCUUGCUGGCACAGUGCCCUUCCCAGUCUUCAGGAUUCAGCUGGGGAGGACAACUCAGCAAAGGCAGGAGGAGAAAAGUUGAGCUGCACCCCUGGAGUACCAUUUGUGUAUUUGCAGAUUUCCUUUCUUCAGGGGUCCACAUGCUGUCAUUUGGAGUGUGUCCCUGUCACCUCAGGAGUGCUCCCAGGAUGGAGGCCUGGCCUUGUCAUUGUGCAGAUGAAUGAACUGCAGCUGAAACCAAAGGCAGAGAGAAUUCAUUCCUGGGUUUGGAGCCCCCCUAGACAGGACCCAUUCUACUGAGCAAGCAAGGCUGAACAGUCCCACAGCCCUAAACACAGGUGCCCAUCACCCUCAAUCCAGCAGGGCUGCAGAGAGGACAGACUCUGACUUUAAAUGACAAGGGACAAAACCUUGUACAGAGCCUGGCCUGAAAGGCCUGGGUGUGAUGGCCUCUCCCAGGGAGAGAGACAAGAGACCCUGUGAACCGACACCAGGACUGUCCCCAGGAAACCAUGGCAAGGUGUCAGGAGCAGGGAUUAUAGACAGGGCCAAGGACAUGUGAUGCAGGUAGCUGAGGGACAGCAUCACGGAGAAGUAGAAACUGAAACUAGGAAACAGUAUUUCCUUUUUUCUCUGACAACAUGUGCCUGCAGGGAUGAAACGCCUGCUGUGUCAUCACAGUGUUAAGAAACGAACUAACUUUUAGAUACAAUUAAAUGAGGACAAAGUCAUGGAGUGAGGCGUCCUGGACCUGGGUCCAGCAGGAUGGCCGGUCGACAGGAACCCCACAUGACUAGGAAUAUGAAUCCACCAACAGACGGGACGACACCCAGAGUGCUGCAGUUCUCGAGGGUUUAUUGUAGGUACAACGAGGGUAGAAGAGAGCAGGGAGAGGCAGGGGAAGAGCAGGGAGACCACCUCUCGAGAAGGGAGCUACCUCUGAGGGCCGCCUCCAGAGGAGGGGUCGGGGCUUAUAAUCGGAGAAGGGGAGGCGGGGAACCAAUGGAAUAGGAGCCCAUGGAAGGAGUAAGGAUGGGACAAUCCAAUGGGAGACAGGGGAAGGAGUGGUUACAGGGAGAGAACCAAUAACAGAACAUAGAACGGGAAACUUUCCAGAACCAGGGAUGGCAUAACAGUUUGAUAGGCAUUAACUGGGGAGGGUACAUCUAGCGAUGGACAUGGGAGAAGGCGGGAACUUUGUUACCAUGCUCUUCUUUACACUACAGCUGUUUCCCAUGGCAUUCCUGACAGAUCUCCUCUGAGACCUCCUCCCACAAUGGAGGCAAAAUAAAUCUGUUUAAUAGUAACAAUUCACCUGA